GAUCCUGGCUCAGGGUGAACGCUAGCUACAGGCUUAACACAUGCAAGUCGAGGGGCAGCAUGAAAGGAACUUCGGUUCUUUUUGAUGGCGACCGGCGCACGGGUGCGUAACGCGUAUCGAACCUGCCUCAUACUCGGGGAUAGCCUUGCGAAAGUAAGAUUAAUACCCGGCGGUCUCGGAUGGCCGCAUGACUAUCCGAGUGAAGAUUUAUCGGUAUGAGAUGGCAAUGCGUCCCAUUAG
Molecule: ribosomal RNA, 240 nt
Filed under: uncultured bacterium
Lineage: Bacteria
Description: partial 16S ribosomal RNA
Rfam family: Bacterial small subunit ribosomal RNA
Source: RNAcentral